RNAcentral lists this ribosomal RNA (117 nucleotides) under Danio rerio (zebrafish). The record is from RNAcentral. Lineage: Eukaryota; Metazoa; Chordata; Actinopteri; Cypriniformes; Danionidae.
UAACACAGCCAUAUCACUCUGAAGCCCAUGACUGCACUCCAACUAAAGCUAAGCAGGACUGAGCCUGGUCAGUACCUGCAUGGGAGACCACAUGGAAAAACUAGGUCUUAGUUGGAA